AGCGAACGCUGGCGGCAGGCCUAACACAUGCAAGUCGAACGAACCUUUCGGGGUUAGUGGCGGACGGGUGAGUAACACGUGGGAACGUGCCUUUAGGUUCGGAAUAACUCAGGGAAACUUGUGCUAAUACCGAAUGUGCCCCUCGGGGGAAAGAUUCAUCGCCCUUAGAGGGGCCCGCGUCCGAUUAGCUAGUUGGUUGAGGUAAUGGCUCACCAAGGCGACGAUCAGUAGCUGGUCUGAGAGGAUGAUCAGCCACAUUGGGACCGAGACACGGCCCAAACUCCUACGGGAGGCAGCAGUGGGGAAUCUUGCGCAAUGGGCGAAAGCCUGACGCAGCCAUGCCGCGUGAAUGAUGAAGGUCUUAGGAUUGUAAAAUUCUUUCACCGGGGACGAUAAUGACGGUACCCGGAGAAGAAGCCCCGGCUAACUUCGUG
Molecule: ribosomal RNA, 434 nt
Filed under: uncultured bacterium
Lineage: Bacteria
Description: partial 16S ribosomal RNA
Rfam family: Bacterial small subunit ribosomal RNA
Source: RNAcentral